CGCCUUGAAAUUUGUUUGUCUUCAUUUGUCUCAGACUGCAGCUCAGUAAAUAGUUAAAUAUAACCUGACAGAGUUAAAACAUAAAUGCUUAUAUAAUGCUUAUAUAUUUGUUUAUAUAUAACAAUGGGGGAAAAGCCAUUGAAAUACUACUUAAUACCACUAAGAGGCAGCAUUGUUAAACAUUCAGAACAUCAGCGUCCCACAAUGCAAAACCCCGAGACUGGUUUUAUGAACAUGCAGUGAUACCAUGGAGCCCUGCUCUCUUAUGCUACUUUACGGCUCAAAAACUAAUGGAAUCUGGUCACCAUAUUGGCCAUACUCUGAAGAGUUGGAUCCAAAAGCAAAGGAGCACAAUGAGAGCUGGUCUUGAUUUUCACUCAACUCUGGACAUGAAAGGGACCCAGAAGGAUGACACGGCACAAUUAUGUAUCAUUUACACCGAUGCACCAGAAUAUACGCAAUCAUCUCUCAAAAAUCCCUAAACUGUAAAACCCAUUUGCUCUGUUUACUCAGCUGGUUUCUUAAGAACUGGUUCUGUGACUCAUUUGACUUGUUCAAAUAUAUUUGUAUGGUUCAGCAUUUGCUUUCUAUUUUCCAUGUAUUUGUGUAUUUUCCAAAUAUCUGCUAAAAGUUUUUUGGGGGGGAAUGACUCCUAAUUUUGUAUGUUGGACAUGUUCCAUAAGUGAACGGAAUAAAAUCUGGA
Onychostoma macrolepis is the source of this 703-nucleotide long non-coding RNA. RefSeq lists it as uncharacterized. The transcript has 3 exons. The record is from RefSeq and is a predicted model, not a curated record. NCBI's taxonomy places the organism in Eukaryota, Metazoa, Chordata, Actinopteri, Cypriniformes, Cyprinidae.